UGGGGUGUGGCUUAGUGGUGGAGCGCUUGCCUGGCAUGUGUGAGGCACUAGGUUCAAUUCUCAGCACCACAU
RNAcentral lists this transfer RNA (72 nucleotides) under Urocitellus parryii (Arctic ground squirrel). Its description in RNAcentral is "Spermophilus parryii (Arctic ground squirrel) tRNA". It matches the Rfam family "tRNA". From Rfam's summary of the family: Transfer RNA (tRNA) molecules are approximately 80 nucleotides in length. Their secondary structure includes four short double-helical elements and three loops (D, anti-codon, and T loops). Lineage: Eukaryota; Metazoa; Chordata; Mammalia; Rodentia; Sciuridae. The record is from Rfam by way of RNAcentral. RNAcentral also lists the same sequence under 1 other name.